UUAUCAUCAAUGUAAUGUUGACUUUAUGUCUAAUUCAGUGUGAACUUUGGAGCACAGUUCAAUACAAACUUUUUAAUCCCCUAUUAAAAUAGCAUUAUGAAAUCAAAAACAAACUUUCUCGUGAACUCAUGUUAUUAUUCUACAUCAGAAAAUUACUUUUGGAACACUUAAAGACAAGUUUAGGCUUGGGGAAAAGUAAGAAACAUGAUGAUGAACUUGUGCCCACAAGACCAGACUCAGACCCAUGAAAUUUAGCCCAGCCAAACCAAGAACUAGUUAAAUGGCUGAGCAUAUCAACCAUGGCAGGCCAUUGCUGCUUUUUAAAGACAAUAACAUCAUUGAGCUUGUACCCAUCAAGCUUUUGGUGUAACCUGAUCAGAUUCUGGCAUAAGACGUUCUUGUUCCCAUCCAUCCUCCAAAUUAUCUGAUGAUUUCUUCAAUUGUUGAGGUCUCUUAUAAUAUAUUGCAUAAAGAAUCAACUGGGCUGUCCCAAGAACAAAUCCAGUACCAUUUGGUAGCUACAAGAGAGAUCCAUUAAAUCUUCAAAUUGUCAAUAGCAGUGUCACAUAUAUAUACUAGCAAUCUUGUUCUUUUUCACUUGUAAAUGUAAAAGAGAAGAUGAUUUUGAAGAGAACUUACUCCAAUAAACCAAUCACUAGUAAUCACAGCAUAUAUAGUCCAAACUCCUCCAUUUAUGAAAAGGAAAAAUGAGAGAAGGAAUGGCAUGUAUUCAACACUCUUGGUUGUCACAACUGUUUUCUGUAAAUUUCAAGAAUUGGUAUUAAGUGUAACAGCACUGGCAUGUCCCAUGGGCCCAAGAUCAUUGGAGAUAAUAGAUCAUUUUCGGGUCUUAGAGAGAGUUUAAAGGCUUUUAGCAGCUGGGGCUUAACUCCACUAAACUAAAUGGUCUAAGUUUUGAGAGAGAGAAUAAAUUACCAUAGCUGAAAGAGGGGAACCAUAUGCAGCCAUGCUAAAGCAAACACAAAAGAAUCCAGCAACAUCUAUCUGUCCUUUUCUUUUUAAAAACAACUGCGUAAUCAGGACUGUUCCAGCUGGAAACACCACAUCCAGAACCCCAAAUAGAAUAGCUGUCUUAACCUAAUAUAAACAUAAACACAAACAUGAUUAAAGGUUUAAUUAACUUAAUUAAUUACCUACUUAAUUGCUCCUUUUAGAAAAAGAACAGAAAGGAAAUUCACCCUCAUUCUUGGGGGUGCAAAAAUCAGAAACAAGGAGACGAAAAUGAGCUCUAAAACAGCACCAAAACCGUUAACCGUGGCGACGAGGACGCUAUUAGGCUUGAGGAUGCCAUAGUAGACCCAGAAGUAGGCAUUUAUUAACUUCCAAACGUAAGGAUCGCUUUCAAAUUCCUCAGUUGAUCUAUUCACCACAAUUCUCCAAAAGGUCUUUCUGAGACCAAACUUGAAAUCUUUUUUCUGUCAGUUCCUUGAUAUAAACAAAGAGAAACAAAGUAAUGGGAUAUUACCUGCGGGGAGCAAAGUAGACUUACAUGGGAGCAAGGUAGACUAGCCCUGUGGUGAUGUUGCCUAAUAGCCCAAGAAAGAUAAUUAAGCCCUCCAUGGAGGAAGAAACUGAGCUCGCCAUGGAGAAGAAUGAUGGCUUCCAAUAGAUAGGCAAAGAAAGAGUGGAUUUAGGAGAGGCUCUCUAUAAUUGGUUUCAG
Molecule: unclassified non-coding RNA, 1681 nt
Filed under: Hevea brasiliensis (rubber tree)
Lineage: Eukaryota; Viridiplantae; Streptophyta; Magnoliopsida; Malpighiales; Euphorbiaceae
Source: RNAcentral